GUGAUAAGAUACAAGAAGGAACAAAUCAUACACAAUUUAAACAUUCAAUAAAGUUUUACAUAAAGUAUAUGGAUUAUGUAUGUAUGAUAUGAAAGUAGAAGAAUGGAUAUGGAAGGAUAAAUAUAAAGUUUGAGUUAGGUGGAGAAUUGACAGUAAAUCGUUGACAGAUGUCAUUUAUUUUGAAGUUAGUUGAAGAACUCAUUUCAUCAAAAUGUAAUUCCAACAAGACAAAUCUAGCCGAACAGUCAACCAGAAAAAUAUCUACAACACAUAAGAAAUGCCAUUUUGAGAUGUGCAAGAUAAACAAAACAUCAGAUAUUUGUGUUAUAUGUGAACUUCCAGUAUGCGGGAAAUGUGCUGGUCGUACAGUAUAAAGUGUUUACUGUCCAAAAUGUAUUGAAAUUACAAAUAAAUAAUUAUAUGUAAGUUAAAAUGUAUCUAUAUACUAUAUUU
This 453-nucleotide long non-coding RNA is filed under the name Androctonus crassicauda. Lineage: Eukaryota; Metazoa; Arthropoda; Arachnida; Scorpiones; Buthidae. The record is from RNAcentral.